UAAUUUCCCUUAAAAGUAUUAGGUUUCGAGUCAAAUAUAAGUUUCCCUUUUUUUCUUUAAUUUGUUAUUAUAACUAUACCAUGAGUAUAUGUUUCGAAUAAUAAUGGAGUCAUACAAAGUUUAGAAUCAUGAACUCCCUUAGCAUGAUAAGAUAUUAACUUUUUGGGCUUGACUUGUGAAAUUUCCUCGUAGUGUUCAGUUAAUGUUAUCAUAUUCAGUUGUAUUAGUCAUAAUCGGUGGG
RNAcentral lists this long non-coding RNA (241 nucleotides) under Capsicum annuum. RNAcentral's name for it is "long non-coding RNA (CANN_LNC020258)". Lineage: Eukaryota; Viridiplantae; Streptophyta; Magnoliopsida; Solanales; Solanaceae. The record is from RNAcentral.